This 70-nucleotide transfer RNA is filed under the name pig gut metagenome. It matches the Rfam family "tRNA". Rfam says of the family: Transfer RNA (tRNA) molecules are approximately 80 nucleotides in length. Their secondary structure includes four short double-helical elements and three loops (D, anti-codon, and T loops). The record is from RNAcentral.
GCGGGUAGCUCAGUUGGUCAGAGCACUUGGUUUACACCCAAGAUGUCGUGGGUUCGAGCCCCGCUCCGCC